GAUGAACGCUGGCGGCGUGCCUAAUACAUGCAAGUCGAACGAAUGGAUUAAGAGCUUGCUCUUAUGAAGUUAGCGGCGGACGGGUGAGUAACACGUGGGUAACCUGCCCAUAAGACUGGGAUAACUCCGGGAAACCGGGCUAAUACCGGAUAACAUUUUGAACCGCAUGGUUCGAAAUUGAAAGGCGGCUUCGGCUGUCACUUAUGGAUGGACCCGCGUCGCAUUAGCUAGUUGGUGAGGUAACGGCUCACCAAGGCAACGAUGCGUAGCCGACCUGGAAGGGUGAUCGGCCACACUGGGACUGAGACACGGCCCAGACUCCUACGGGAGGCAGCAGUAGGGAAUCUUCCGCAAUGGACGAAAGUCUGACGGAGCAACGCCGCGUGAGUGAGGAAGGCUUUUGGGUCGUAAAACUCUGUUGUUAGGGAAGAACAAGUGCUAGUUGAAUAAGCUGGCACCUUGACGGUACCUAACCAGAAAGCCACGGCUAACUACGUGCCAGCCGCCGCGGUAA
RNAcentral lists this ribosomal RNA (514 nucleotides) under uncultured bacterium. RNAcentral describes it as "partial 16S ribosomal RNA". It matches the Rfam family "Bacterial small subunit ribosomal RNA", at positions 28 to 523 of the family's 1533-position model. The record is from RNAcentral.